RNAcentral lists this non-coding RNA (765 nucleotides) under Pongo abelii (Sumatran orangutan). Lineage: Eukaryota; Metazoa; Chordata; Mammalia; Primates; Hominidae. The record is from RNAcentral.
CACAACCCUCAGCUGUCAGGUUUCCCUGGCACCCAGAGGGGACCGAGCCAGCAGCUGACCUGAAAACAGCGAGUCUGCUGACUGUCCAGCGACCAUUUCCCUCUAUUGAGAAUUUUAACCAAUUGUCUGUUGUUUGUAGUUAUUUGAUAUUGGCUGUGGACCCACAAAGUCACACAAGGCUGAAGGAUGGACAGCACAGAAGAGGCAGUGCAUCUUAACAAAAUCAGGGUUCUGGAAGAAGGGAGGGGUGGUGAAUGGUUGUUGCAAUCAACAGUUCAUACUUCAAUGGAAAGAAGGUGGGAUUCGAUUCCUGGUCGCAAAUCUUCACUCUGUCACCUGCUAUCUGUGUGCCCUCAGUCUCCCAUCAAGGAGUGAUGUCUGUUUCUCCACCUCUUGAAUCUGGGCUGGCCUUGCCAAUAUAAUAUGGCAGAAGUGACAUUGUUUCAGUUCUGAGUCAAAGCCUGAGGAGGCCUUGCAUGCUUCUACUCUCUCUUGCAACCCUGCACUGCCACAUAUCAACAAGACUUAUCAACAAGCCUGGGAUUGCCUGCUAGAUGAUGAAAGAUAUAUGGCCCGCUUGCUCCCAUCACUCCAGCUGAUAGCCAGCCAACCCUAAGAAGCAAAGUCACCUAGCUGAUUAGUAGCUGACCACUGACACAAAAGUAAGAUCAUCUGAGACCAGAAGACAGCCCAUCUGAGCUCAGCCCAAAUUACUGACCCACAAAAUAAUAAUAAAUAAAUGGUUAUUAUUUUUAUGUCACUGAA